RNAcentral lists this transfer RNA (75 nucleotides) under Alosa alosa (allis shad). Its description in RNAcentral is "tRNA-OTHER". Lineage: Eukaryota; Metazoa; Chordata; Actinopteri; Clupeiformes; Clupeidae. The record is from RNAcentral.
GCUGCCGUGGCCUGCUGGUUAGGGGUUUCGGGGUUGUAACCGAAGGGUUGCCGGUUCAAUCCCCGACCAGUAGGA